GACCUGGUAGUACAACUGGUAGUGCAUCUCUUGCAUGUUUUCAAGUAUGCUUGUAGUAUGUUCAGAAGAUCCCUGUUCGAAUCAGGGUCAGGUCA
Non-coding RNA from Mycena epipterygia, 95 nucleotides. Lineage: Eukaryota; Fungi; Basidiomycota; Agaricomycetes; Agaricales; Mycenaceae. The record is from the annotation of a GenBank genome assembly.